This 285-nucleotide small RNA is filed under the name Pseudolabrys sp. Root1462. RNAcentral describes it as "5' ureB small RNA". It matches the Rfam family "5' ureB small RNA". Lineage: Bacteria; Pseudomonadati; Pseudomonadota; Alphaproteobacteria; Hyphomicrobiales; Xanthobacteraceae. The record is from Rfam by way of RNAcentral.
UCGUCGAUCUGCUGCGGGCAGAUGAAGUGGAUGUGCGAGUCGAAGCCGCCUGCGGUGAUGAUCUUGCCUUCGCCCGCGAUGAUGUCGGUGCCCGGGCCAAUGACAAUAGUGACGCCGGGCUGGAUGUCGGGAUUGCCCGCCUUGCCGAUCGCAACGAUGCGGCCUUCCUUGAUGCCGAUAUCGCCCUUGACGAUGCCCCAGUGGUCGAGGAUCAGCGAGUUGGUGAUCACCGUAUCCAUCGCGCCCUGUUUAUUCGUCAUCUGCGACUGGCCCAUGCCGUCGCGG